This 253-nucleotide ribosomal RNA is filed under the name uncultured bacterium. RNAcentral's name for it is "partial 16S ribosomal RNA". It matches the Rfam family "Bacterial small subunit ribosomal RNA", at positions 524 to 776 of the family's 1533-position model. The record is from RNAcentral.
UACGUAGGGGGCAAGCGUUAUCCGGAAUUAUUGGGCGUAAAGAGCUCGUAGGCGGUUUGUCGCGUCUGCCGUGAAAGUCCGGGGCUCAACUCCGGAUCUGCGGUGGGUACGGGCAGACUAGAGUGAUGUAGGGGAGACUGGAAUUCCUGGUGUAGCGGUGAAAUGCGCAGAUAUCAGGAGGAACACCGAUGGCGAAGGCAGGUCUCUGGGCAUUAACUGACGCUGAGGAGCGAAAGCGUGGGGAGCGAACAGG